Molecule: ribosomal RNA, 1022 nt
Filed under: Salmonella enterica subsp. enterica serovar Virchow
Lineage: Bacteria; Pseudomonadati; Pseudomonadota; Gammaproteobacteria; Enterobacterales; Enterobacteriaceae
Description: partial 23S ribosomal RNA
Rfam family: Bacterial large subunit ribosomal RNA
Source: RNAcentral
AAUCCAUAGGUUAAUGAGGCGAACCGGGGGAACUGAAACAUCUAAGUACCCCGAGGAAAAGAAAUCAACCGAGAUUCCCCCAGUAGCGGCGAGCGAACGGGGAGGAGCCCAGAGCCUGAAUCAGCAUGUGUGUUAGUGGAAGCGUCUGGAAAGGCGCGCGAUACAGGGUGACAGCCCCGUACACAAAAGCGCAUGUGCUGUGAGCUCGAUGAGUAGGGCGGGACACGUGGUAUCCUGUCUGAAUAUGGGGGGACCAUCCUCCAAGGCUAAAUACUCCUGACUGACCGAUAGUGAACCAGUACCGUGAGGGAAAGGCGAAAAGAACCCCGGCGAGGGGAGUGAAAAAGAACCUGAAACCGUGUACGUACAAGCAGUGGGAGCACAGGUUUACCUGUGUGACUGCGUACCUUUUGUAUAAUGGGUCAGCGACUUAUAUUCUGUAGCAAGGUUAACCGAAUAGGGGAGCCGGAGGGAAACCGAGUCUUAAUUGGGCGUUAAGUUGCAGGGUAUAGACCCGAAACCCGGUGAUCUAGCCAUGGGCAGGUUGAAGGUUGGGUAACACUAACUGGAGGACCGAACCGACUAAUGUUGAAAAAUUAGCGGAUGACCUGUGGCUGGGGGUGAAAGGCCAAUCAAACCGGGAGAUAGCUGGUUCUCCCCGAAAGCUAUUUAGGUAGCGCCUCGUGAAUUCAUCUCCGGGGGUAGAGCACUGUUUCGGCUAGGGGGCCAUCCCGGCUUACCAACCCGAUGCAAACUGCGAAUACCGGAGAAUGUUAUCACGGGAGACACACGGCGGGUGCUAACGUCCGUCGUGAAGAGGGAAACAACCCAGACCGCCAGCUAAGGUCCCAAAGUCAUGGUUAAGUGGGAAACGAUGUGGGAAGGCCCAGACAGCCAGGAUGUUGGCUUAGAAGCAGCCAUCAUUUAAAGAAAGCGUAAUAGCUCACUGGUCGAGUCGGCCUGCGCGGAAGAUGUAACGGGGCUAAACCAUGCACCGAAGCUGCGGCAGCGACACUCAGGUG